ACGGAGGGUGCAAGCGUUAUCCGGAUUUAUUGGGUUUAAAGGGUGCGUAGGCGGUUAUAUAAGUCAGCGGUGAAAUUUUUCGGCUCAACAGGAAACAAGCCGUUGAUACUGUAUAGAUUGAAUAAGGUUGCAGUAAGUGGAAUGCGUAGUGUAACAGUGAAAUUCUUAAAUAUUACACAGAAUAUCUAUUGCGAAGGCAACACACAAGGCCAAUUUUGACGCUAAUACACGAAAGUGAGGGGAUCAAACAG
This 251-nucleotide ribosomal RNA is filed under the name uncultured prokaryote. RNAcentral describes it as "partial 16S rRNA". It matches the Rfam family "Bacterial small subunit ribosomal RNA", at positions 525 to 775 of the family's 1533-position model. The record is from RNAcentral.